Molecule: ribosomal RNA, 331 nt
Filed under: uncultured Chloroflexota bacterium
Lineage: Bacteria; Bacillati; Chloroflexota
Description: bacterial SSU rRNA
Rfam family: Bacterial small subunit ribosomal RNA
Source: RNAcentral
GAUGAACGCUGGCGGCGUGCCUAAUACAUGCAAGUCGAACGAGGUGCUUUUGUAGCAAUACGAGAGUAUCCUAGUGGCGAACGGGUGAGUAACGCGUUGGUGACCUACCCCAAAGUGUGGGAUAACAGUCCGAAAGGACUGCUAAUACCGCAUGUGGUCUCAGAAGUUAGAGGAUUUGAGACGAAAGGAGCAAUCCGCUUUGGGAGGGGCCUGCGUCCCAUCAGCUAGUUGGUAAGGUAAAGGCUUACCAAGGCGAAGACGGGUAGGGGACCUGAGAGGGUGACCCCCCACACUGGCACUGAAACACGGGCCAGACACCUACGGGAGGCAG